This 503-nucleotide ribosomal RNA is filed under the name uncultured bacterium. RNAcentral describes it as "bacterial SSU rRNA". It matches the Rfam family "Bacterial small subunit ribosomal RNA", at positions 94 to 630 of the family's 1533-position model. The record is from RNAcentral.
AGUGGCGCACGGGUGAGUAACACGUGACUAACCUACCCUUGAGUGGGGGAUAACUGAGGGAAACCUUAGCUAAUACCGCAUAAUACCCACGGGUCAAAGGAGCAAUUCGCUCGAGGAGGGGGUCGCGGCCGAUUAGUUAGUUGGCGGGGUAAUGGCCCACCAAGACGAUGAUCGGUAUCCGGCCUGAGAGGGCGCACGGACACACUGGAACUGAAACACGGUCCAGACUCCUACGGGAGGCAGCAGUGGGGAAUUUUGCGCAAUGGGGGAAACCCUGACGCAGCAACGCCGCGUGGAGGAUGAAGUCCUUCGGGACGUAAACUCCUUUCGAUCGGGACGAUUAUGACGGUACCGGAAGAAGAAGCCCCGGCUACUUCGUGCCAGCAGCCGCGGCAAUACGAGGGGGGCGAGCGUUGUUCGGUAUUAUUGGGCGUAAAGGGUGCGUAGGCGGUUUGGUAAGUCUUUUGUGAAAUCUCUGGGCUCAACUCAGAGUCUGCAGGAGA